GUCUAUGGCCUGCCACCCUGAACGUGCCCGAUCCCAUCCGAUCUCGGAAGCUAAGAAGGGUUGAGCCUGGUUAGUACUUGGAUGGGCGACCACCUAGGAAGACCAGGUGCUGUAGGUA
This 118-nucleotide ribosomal RNA is filed under the name Pteropus alecto (black flying fox). The record is from RNAcentral. Lineage: Eukaryota; Metazoa; Chordata; Mammalia; Chiroptera; Pteropodidae.